ACACACACACACACACACACACACACACACACACACACACACUCUUACCCAUUGCGUGUGUAUGUGUGUGUUUGCAUGUGAAGUGGUUUAGACAGGAUGUUUAAUUAUACGGAUCUGAAACCCAAGAGCAAGCUGCAUUUGUACCAAAAGCUCGAGAUGGAAGCAUACCUGUUCUUUUUUCUGCUGACUUGCACAAAUAUGCAAGUUGCUUCUGCUGAUACAUCUUUGUCGAAUUUAAAAUCGGCUGACACACUGACUGUGCGACAGAAAGAGAACAUCACACUGCAGUGUGACAUCACUGGCCAUGAGGAUGUGGCCUGGUAUCUUCUGAGUUCGGACAGGUUUACACUUCUGAUCUCAGCACGGAAAACUCGCACGCGUAAAGGCCUCCCAGUUUAUUAUAACAAAGACGAGAGUCGCUUUGCCCUGAAGCCAGACAGCGAGAUUAACACGGCUAUCUUCACCAUCUUCAGUCUAACGGAGGACGAUGAGGGACUUUAUUUCUGUGGAACUGCAGCCAAGCCAACACAGCUGCAUUUCGGCAACGGCAUCAGACUGCAGUUUGAAGUGGUUUCCUGUUUCCAUUUUGGUGAAGAGGAUGUGAGAUGCUCAGUAACAGCGUUUUGAUUGUCUUAAUUCCUCUCAGAGAAAAGCAAAGACACACAGGAAACUUUCUCUACACAGAAACCACAUGAAGAAGAAGUGGAGAAUAGUGGAGCUGUGAGUGUGUGUGAGAGAGUGGUAAUGUUUGGUGGUGUGGGCGUGGUCACCUUGCUCUUAAUCCUGACUACUGUAGUUGCAUGCAGCGUGAUCAAACAUGGACAACGUCAGUCAUGAGAUAAAUUGUGCUGAUGCAAGUUAUUGAGCUUUAAAAAAAGUUUUUACAAAUAAUUUACAAAAGUAUUACAAAAUAAAGUGUUUGCACAAGUUGUGAUUUUUCUUGUAUUUAAUUCUGUAAUGCACUUUGAUGUUUUCUCCUUUUUAUUGUUCUGUAAUGUCCCUCUAGAGGUAUCUGUCUCUUCACUACUGUUAGAUUCAACCGCAACUCGAACUCCAUUUCCCAGCAUACACAGCGGCCUACAAACACGGCCGCCCCGACACAACUUCCCACAACACACACACACUCCUACGCUCUCAGUCACUGCACUUUUAAUGACACACACACACACACACACACACACACACACACAUUCUCAUUCACACACCAAUCAUUGUGCACUAUAUAAACCUCUUCUUGUUUCAGCCUCACUGUGAAGUAAUCACUCAGUUUCUCUUGUGUUUUGUCAUUAUCAAGCCGCUGUUAUUGGUCUUUGUGUCCUGGUUUUGAUCUUUGCCGAUGUUUUUGAUUGGUCACUGCUUUGCCUCUGUUACUCUGUUUGCUCGACCCUGCUUCCUCGAUGUGCUUUUUUUUUGUUUUUUAUUUUUAAUAAAUUUGCAAAGAUUUCAAACAAACUUCUUUCACGUUGUCAUUAUGGGGUGUUUGUAGAAUUUUGAGGAAAAUAAUGAAUUGAAUCCAUUUGGAAUAAGACUGUAACAUAACAAUAUGUGGGAAAAGUGAAGCGC
Ictalurus punctatus (channel catfish) is the source of this 1563-nucleotide long non-coding RNA. The record is from Ensembl. Lineage: Eukaryota; Metazoa; Chordata; Actinopteri; Siluriformes; Ictaluridae.